AAUACUCUUGGAUAGUGGACGUUACUCGCAGAAUAAGCACCGGCUAACUCUGUGCCAGCAGCCGCGGUAAUACAGAGGGUGCAAGCGUUAAUCGGAUUUACUGGGCGUAAAGCGCGCGUAGGUGGCCAAUUAAGUCAAAUGUGAAAUCCCCGAGCUUAACUUGGGAAUUGCAUUCGAUACUGGUUGGCUAGAGUAUGGGAGAGGAUGGUAGAAUUCCAGGUGUAGCGGUGAAAUGCGUAGAGAUCUGGAGGAAUACCGAUGGCGAAGGCAGCCAUCUGGCCUAAUACUGACACUGAGGUGCGAAAGCAUGGGGAGCAAACAGGAUUAGAUACCCUGGUAGUCCAUGCCGUAAACGAUGUCUACUAGCCGUUGGGGCCUUUGAGGCUUUAGUGGCGCAGCUAACGCGAUAAGUAGACCGCCUGGGGAGUACGGUCGCAAGACUAAAACUCAAAUGAAUUGACGGGGGCCCGCACAAGCGGUGGAGCAUGUGGUUUAAUUCGAUGCAACGCGAAGAACCUUACCUGGUCUUGACAUAGUAAGAACUUUCCAGAGAUGGAUUGGUGCCUUCGGGAACUUACAUACAGGUGCUGCAUGGCUGUCGUCAGCUCGUGUCGUGAGAUGUUGGGUUAAGUCCCGCAACGAGCGCAACCCUUUUCCUUAUUUGCCAGCGGGUUAAGCCGGGAACUUUAAGGAUACUGCCAGUGACAAACUGGAGGAAGGCGGGGACGACGUCAAGUCAUCAUGGCCCUUACGACCAGGGCUACACACGUGCUACAAUGGUCGGUACAAAGGGUUGCUACCUCGCGAGAGGAUGCUAAUCU
Molecule: ribosomal RNA, 821 nt
Filed under: uncultured Acinetobacter sp.
Lineage: Bacteria; Pseudomonadati; Pseudomonadota; Gammaproteobacteria; Moraxellales; Moraxellaceae
Description: bacterial SSU rRNA
Rfam family: Bacterial small subunit ribosomal RNA
Source: RNAcentral